This 386-nucleotide ribosomal RNA is filed under the name uncultured eukaryote. Its description in RNAcentral is "partial 18S ribosomal RNA". It matches the Rfam family "Eukaryotic small subunit ribosomal RNA", at positions 592 to 976 of the family's 1831-position model. The record is from RNAcentral.
CAAUAGCGUAUAUUAAAGUUGUUGCAGUUAAAAAGCUCGUAGUUGGAUUUCUGGAUCGAACGCUUCGUCCGCCGCUGUGCGGUGUGUACUGAGGUUUUGUUUCGAUUCAUCCUUGCAGGGAAGCGAGUUCGAGAUUAAUUUGUCGGCUCGGGGAACUGCAUCUUUUACUGUGAAAAAAUUAGAGUGUUUAAAGCAGGCAUUUUGCUGUGAAUACAUUAGCAUGGAAUAAUAACAUAGGACUUUGGUUCUAUUUUGUUGGUUGGAGGCCAAGGUAAUGAUUAAUAGGGACAGUUGGGGGUAUUCAUAUUUAAUUGUCAGAGGUGAAAUUCUUGGAUUUAUGAAAGAUGAACUCAUGCGAAANCANNNACCAAGGAUGUUUUCAUNAA